RNAcentral lists this ribosomal RNA (292 nucleotides) under uncultured eukaryote. RNAcentral describes it as "partial 18S ribosomal RNA". It matches the Rfam family "Eukaryotic small subunit ribosomal RNA", at positions 6 to 306 of the family's 1831-position model. The record is from RNAcentral.
GGUUGAUCCUGCCAGUAGUCAUAUGCUUGUCCUAAAGAUUAAGCCAUGCAUGUGCAAGUAUAAACGGUUAUACGGUGAAACUGCGAAAGGCUCAUUAAAUCAGUUAUAAUUUACAUGAUGAAUACUUAUUACAUGGAUAACCGUGGUAAUUCUAGAGCUAAUACAUGGGAGAGGGGUGGCGUGAGCUACUCUGUAUUUAUUAGAUAAAACCAAGGCUUUUAGGAGCGAAUGGGGAGUCAUGAUAACUGAGCGGAUCGUAAGGCGUUGAGCCGACGACGCAUCAUUGAAAUUU